UACAGAGGGUGCAAGCGUUAAUCGGAGUUACUGGGCGUAAAGGGCGCGUAGGUGGUUUAGUAAGUGAGAUGUGAAAGCCCUGGGCUUAACCUAGGAACUGCAUCUUAUACUGUUAAACUUGAGUACUGUAGAGGGUAGUGGAAUUUCCGGUGUAGCGGUGAAAUGCGUAGAGAUCGGAAGGAACACCAGUGGCGAAGGCGGCUACCUGGACAGAUACUGACACUGAGGCGCGAGAGCGUGGGGAGCAAACAGG
Molecule: ribosomal RNA, 253 nt
Filed under: uncultured Gammaproteobacteria bacterium
Lineage: Bacteria; Pseudomonadati; Pseudomonadota; Gammaproteobacteria
Description: partial 16S ribosomal RNA
Rfam family: Bacterial small subunit ribosomal RNA
Source: RNAcentral